GAAGAAAACAAAGGGGCGACCAAAGCUCCCUUCACAAACCCUAGUUCUUGCUUUUUCAUCAAAUUGAAAGGGUAAAUCGGCUCCAAAUCGAAAUCCAAACUCAGAAUAGUGAUCACUUUCGUGAAAGGAUCAUAAGUUUGACGUCUGACAAGCUAUGUGGAAGCUUGGAAAGGAAGCGGGUCAAACGGAUCAAAUAAGCGGAGAAUAGCAAAAAUGGAUGCAAGGUGAAUGUCGUUACCAUCCGGAUGCCGAUCAAGCAACGAAGUGAACCGAACACAUACAUAAUGAAGCUUCCGCGAUAUCUUUCUUUUGUUAAGUUUAAAAAUGAAAGUUGUAAACACUUGAU
Molecule: long non-coding RNA, 346 nt
Organism: Helianthus annuus (common sunflower)
Lineage: Eukaryota; Viridiplantae; Streptophyta; Magnoliopsida; Asterales; Asteraceae
Exons: 3
Source: RefSeq, a predicted model, not a curated record